This 420-nucleotide ribosomal RNA is filed under the name Bacillus cereus. RNAcentral's name for it is "bacterial SSU rRNA". It matches the Rfam family "Bacterial small subunit ribosomal RNA", at positions 69 to 471 of the family's 1533-position model. Lineage: Bacteria; Bacillati; Bacillota; Bacilli; Caryophanales; Bacillaceae. The record is from RNAcentral.
GGAUUAAGAGCUUGCUCUUAUGAAGUUAGCGGCGGACGGGUGAGUAACAGCGUGGGUAACCUGCCCAUAAGACUGGGAUAACUCCGGGAAACCGGGGCUAAUACCGGAUAACAUUUUGAACCGCAUGGUUCGAAAUUGAAAGGCGGCUUCGGCUGUCACUUAUGGAUGGACCCGCGUCGUAUUAGCUAGUUGGUGAGGUAACGGCUCACCAAGGCAACGAUGCGUAGCCGACCUGAGAGGGUGAUCGGCCACACUGGGACUGAGACACGGCCCAGACUCCUACGGGAGGCAGCAGUAGGGAAUCUUCCGCAAUGGACGAAAGUCUGACGGAGCAACGCCGCGUGAGUGAUGAAGGCUUUCGGGUCGUAAAACUCUGUUGUUAGGGAAGAACAAGUGCUAGUUGAAUAAGCUGGCACCUUG